AGUGAACGCUGGCGGUAGGCCUAACACAUGCAAGUCGAACGGCAGCACAGGAGAGCUUGCUCUCUGGGUGGCGAGUGGCGGACGGGUGAGGAAUACAUCGGAAUCUACUCUGUCGUGGGGGAUAACGUAGGGAAACUUACGCUAAUACCGCAUACGACCUACGGGUGAAAGCAGGGGACCUUCGGGCCUUGCGCGAUUGCAUGAGCCGAUGUCGGAUUAGCUAGGUGGCGGGGUAAAGGCCCACCAAGGCGACGAUCCGAAGCUGGUCUGAGAGGAUGAUCAGCCACACUGGAACUGAGACACGGUCCAGACUCCUACGGGAGGCAGCAGUGGGGAAUAUUGGACAAUGGGCGCAAGCCUGAUCCAGCCAUACCGCGUGGGUGAAGAAGGCCUUCGGGUUGUAAAGCCCUUUUGUUGGGAAAGAAAUCCAGCUGGCUAAUACCCGGUUGGGAUGACGGUACCCAAAGAAUAAGCACCGGCUAACUUCGUGCCAGCCGCCGCGGUAA
RNAcentral lists this ribosomal RNA (506 nucleotides) under uncultured bacterium. Its description in RNAcentral is "partial 16S ribosomal RNA". It matches the Rfam family "Bacterial small subunit ribosomal RNA", at positions 29 to 523 of the family's 1533-position model. The record is from RNAcentral.